Macaca fascicularis (crab-eating macaque) is the source of this 7238-nucleotide long non-coding RNA. The record is from Ensembl. Lineage: Eukaryota; Metazoa; Chordata; Mammalia; Primates; Cercopithecidae.
AUAGCGAAUCUUUCUAAAGCUCUGAUCAGUCAAGAAGGGGGUUACAUCAAUCCUCAGAACCCUGAGUGGAACUUUCUGACGGAUUUAUUAGGAGGAAAACCUUCCUGGAAGCUGCAGAAGGACUAAUACAGAAUCCAUGUCUGGGAGAAACCUCGUGGCCUGGUCUCCAUUAUUUGAGAUGAGUUACAUCUUGGAGGCCUGAUCUUUUGGCCAGAAGGAGAUUAAAAUGAUGCCCCUUAAGAUGGCUGUGCCUGUCAGCUGCAUGGAGCUUCGUUCGAGUAUUUUCUGAGCCUGAUGGAUUUACAGUGAUCUUCGGUCGUCUGAGGAAUAACUCUGGUGGAACAAUGCACUGGAAUGACACACGCCCUGCACAUUUCAGGAUACUAAAAGUGGUUUUGAAGGAGGCCCUGGCUGAAUGCCUCAUGGAUUCUUACAGCUUGGAUGUCCAUGUGGGAUGAAGGACCGCAGCUGGCUGCGAGGACUGAGAUCUCUGUUUACUUGGGUCUCUGCCAACUUCCUUUGGGUCUCCCUAUGGAAUGUAAGACCCCGACUCCUCCUGGUGAAGCGUCUGAUGCAUGUUCCGUCCGGCGCUCAGCUGGGCUUGAGGAGACAGCACGAAUUCUCCUACAUGUUCACCACACAACUGGUGCUGUGAGAGAGACGAAGAUGAGUCACGCCUGUACUGCUCUUUAAACACUCACAAUUGAAUGGUUAUCCUGGCCAGAAAGCCAUAGCUUUUCCUCAUCAGAGCUUCAGUGCUAUGGAAACUUGAAGUUUGGAGGGUCUGAUGUCUCAGUCUGGAUGAGGAUGAGUUCCCUGCAUUCCUGGGUCAGCAGCUCCCAUCCUCUUAGAUUCCAGGAUGGUGGCUGGACAUGGUGGCUCAUACCUGUAAUCCCAGCACUUUGGGAGACCAAGGCAGGAGUAUGGCUUGAGCCCAGGCAUUCAAGACAAGACUGGGCAACACAGCAAGACCCUGUCUCAAAAGAAAAAAAAAGAUUCCAAGAUGGUGUAGAACAUCAGAGAGGAGCCCUUCGAGAUUAUUUGGCCAUUGUCACCCCACCUGCUUAUAGAUGGAAAUGCAUAGACUCAGAGAGGUCGGGGGACAUAUAGACAGCUGUACAAAUCCAGUGGACCUCAAAUCCAGGCGUUUCUAACCUGAAUUAAAUUAUCUCGCCCUUGGGCGAUGGAGAAUGGAGCAGAAGUGACCACAGCAGAAUAGGUGGGAAGGUUCCUGCGACAGCAAAGAUUCUGCUGCCCGGUUCCUGAGAUAUUAAGAAUGUGUUGUCUACACAACUACAUGGCCAGCUGCCUCCUCCUUAAUUUUUGUUUUGUUUUGUUUUGUUUGUUUGUUUCUGAGACAGAGUCUUGCUCUGUAUCCCAGGCUGGAGUGCAGUGGCAUGACCACAGCUCACUGCAGCCUCAAUCUCCUUGGUUCAAGUGAUCCUCCCACCUCAGCCUCCCAAGCAGCUGGGACUACAAGUGCAUGCCACCAAGUGCUAUUUUUUUUCUUUUUUAAAUUUUUUUUAGAGGCAGGGGUCUUGCUACGUUGCCAGGGCUGGUCUCGAACUCCUGGGCUCAAGUUAUCCUCCUGCCUCGGCCUCCCAAAGUGCUGGGAUUAUAGGCGUGAGCCAUCAUACCCAGCCCUCCUUAAUUUUUUAACAUGAAUUAAUAGGACUUGGACACACAUAGCCUCAUUUAUAUGGGCAGCCAUCACAGCCUGCCACGUGUCAGAUGAGGUCUCUGGGGCUCUCACUCCUUGCAUCGGGACUGAUGCCACAUGUGGCCCAGCUGUAGGUCACAUUCAUCUCCUGCGUUCUCCGGGAUCAGAUGGAAUACCAGCACAUCUACCCUCGUGUGCCCUGGGAGUUUGUAAUAAUGUAUGAAUAUGUAGAUUUAUUUCAGAGAACAUUUUCAGAAUCCUGUUGCGCAUGUGCACAAAAAUAUUGGCUGCAGUGUGUUUAUAACCAUGAAAACUCCAAAAUAGCUUCAAUCUCCUGUGAAAGGGGAGUGGUUGAAGGCCCUCCAGCACGUGCACAGAAUUCUUUCUUCAGCCAUUGAAACAUGAAAAUGACGGUUAAAAAUGACUCCAUUAUGGGGAAAAGGGACAGGAUGCAAAUGGCAUGAUGAUAUGAUGGCACGAUGUAUGAUAAGGAAAGAAAAAGAUGUUGUAAAAGGUCACAUAAAGUCACCCGCAGAUCAGCAGUCAUGCCAUGAUUAGCUGCUCUGUGCCAGACACACAGGCUGCAAAUUGUAGCUGCUCACCCCAGGAGGUGGGCAGCUGCCCCUCUGUGCCUCCGUUGCCUCUGUUAGGCUCCUGGAAGCCCCCUUCAUUGCUGUGUAAUGACAUCUUCAUCACCACAUGUAACAGCUUCUUUACCACUAUGUGCAAUGUCAUUCUGUGUGCCUCUUGGGCUAAACCAUCACAGAGGAAAAGAGUGCUGGAGAAAUGCCAGGGAUAUCGGUACGGAAAUGUUCCAGAUGGAAAGUCUCGGCUUCAGGUGACCGUAGCAGUGAAUGUCAGGGUCAAACUGGGGGUGUAUUCUUGGGAGAGCGUCAGCUCGUCUGUGACCUAGUGUUCAGCCGGCUUCCUGGAAAGGAGGCUGCAUCCUGACAUUGAAGCCCUGUGUGCUAGGAUGAGUGUGUUACGCAGAGCCUUACACAUGAGAAAAUCUUGCAUCCUCAGGACAGGCGGUUAGUGUUGCUGUCUGGAAUCCACCGGCUACGUCCCUCCUCCCUCCACCACUUAAAAUUCCCUGAAUCUGACAGUGGUAGGGAAAGGGCUGAUCCUGGAGAAGAUUGUUCCUUGAUAAUCCUAGUAUGAUUCAUAAUGGUUGCAGCAGAUGAGCCCUGAGGUCCGUGGCUCAGUCUGCAGCUGAGGAAGGCUCUUCCCUGGGGAGGUGUGUCCAGCUUCUCGGGAAGACCUCAGCUGUCUGGCUGGCCUGGGCUGCCCAGUUCUUAGCAGUGCGUCAGUGAUCAGCAGCCCCUGACCAUCAGACAGCGUUUCCCGCCUGCCAGAGAACGUCAGAGCCACUGCGUCUGGACCAGCUGAAGGCAGCCACGGUGCCCAGGAUGCUGCUGCUGCCUCCAAGGAAAAGAAUUCUGAAAAUGAGGAAUUACAGCCUGGUGGUUUUGUUUUAUGUUUAUUAAUUUUUUUACAUCUGGAAGAUAAUGGAAAAAUUAAAAAUUGCUAUAAUUGCACCAAUUUUAAAAGUUAAUAAUAUAAAGAAGGGAGAGUCACCAACACCAGCUUGAAACCCAUCCCGCCCCUUCUUGAGAUAAUACCUGUUAUCAAUUUGGUGAUUUAUGCAAACGUAGUGGUGUACUGUUAAACUUCUCAAGAGGAGAAACAAAAACCCUGAAUUGUAGGUUUGUCGAUUUCAAUGGUGAAAUCCCACUGCAGCCGGUUUCAGGCAACCAAAGCUUUAAAAGCCAGUUCGCAAAAUUCUUGAAUAUUUAAUAAUCAGCUUUUGCAAGUGCAUACAUGCUCACAGCGUUUGCUUUUUGUACUUCAUUUUGAGGGAGGCAGGAAAUGGAAACUUGCAAUGGUAUUGGUAAGCAUGCCAUUUUUAUUUACGGUAUCACCACGUCUUCCCAGACUAGCAUGUGCAGAUUCACUUAGCUCCUCUCACUUGUGGGAUGGAGUUUCCAUGAAGGCGCACUGUGUUGCUUCUGGAAGGGCAGAAUCGGCCCCCCAGGAGAGGGGAGUGGCAGCAGCUUAGCACUCGGAGGUUAGCUCCUGCAAUGCUAUCCACAUUUGGCGUUUACUUGGAGUUCACUCUAGCUUCUGGUUUCUUCUAAAUAUGUUCUUCCAAUAACCUGUGGCCUAAUCAACGUUGCUGGUGAUACAUCCCUUUGCUCUGUUUAAUUCCAGUUUCCAUCAGAGAAUCUCAUUUUUCUUUUGGGAAAUGUUUCCUGAUUUUCUUCUUUUCCACCACCCCUCCCUGAGGCUGGGUAAAGUGCUUCUUCUGCAAUGAUGCUUAGAACCCAGGCCUCCUUCUGUGACAGGGCUCUCUGCACCUUAUGGUUUAUUGUGUGAUGUCUCAGCCUGUUUCCUGCAGAGAAGCAGAGAAGUUCUGGUGAACAGAAUGGCCCUCUAAAGAUGCCCACGCCCUAAUCUCUGAUGUUAUGCCUAUGAAUGAAUAUGUUACUUUAUAUGGCAAAGGGGACUUUGCAGAUGUAAUUAAGGUUACGAAUCAAUUGACUUCUAAUAGGGAGAUUAUCCUUGGUUAUCCAGGUGGGCCCAAUCCAAUCACAUGGGCCCUUAAAAGCAGAGAUUUUCUCUGACUGUGCUGAGGAAGAUGCCGUGAACGAUUCUAAGUGUGAGAAGGAUUUGAUGUGCCACUGCUGGCUCUGAAAUGUGGGGCCCACUUGUAGGAACUGGAGGGAGAGACUGGUUGCUAAGGGUGGCCCCUAGCUAACAGCCAACAGAGAAAUGGGGACCCCCCCAAUCCUACAGCUGCAGGGAACUGAUUUCAGAACAUGAAUAAGUUUGGAAGAGGAUCCUUCCAGAACCUCCUGAUAGGAGUCCAGUCCGCUGUCACCUUGAAUUCAGCUUCGUGAACCAGGAGCAGGGAAACCAGCUGAGCCAACCCACUCUCUGACCUAAGGAGCACCGAGGUAAUUAUAUGUAUUGUUUUAAGCCACUGAGUUUGUAGUAAUUUGUUAUAGUGGCUGUAGAAAAUUAAUACAGAAUCCUAGUGUUUGGGAAUGCAGGCUCCAGGCCCCUGUUUUCUCACUUCCAAAGCAUGUUUGCACCUUCGCAGGGGACUCUCAAGUCCCGGUAGCUCACUUUCACGUGUCUCAGCCCACUUGCCCUGCUGCUUCUGAAUGAGCAGGUUCUACCAUCUUCCAAACACUUCAUCUCCCCCACCUGCCCAUAAUCACUGCUUGUUGGAUUUUUACCACUGCAAUGUAGGCCUUGGCUUCCUAUUUCAGACCCCUGGGAUGUUUUGGUAGCUUCCUUAGGGGUCUUCUCAACUCCCGGCCCUCCCUCUGCCCAACCAUCCUUCACACUGCCUCCAGAUGCAUCUUCCUGGAGUGUGGCUUUACUUCCAUCGCUCCCUAGCUACUGACAUCCUGUGGGCCUCCCAUUCCAACUGAAUCCAGGGCACAUCCCCCAGCCUAGGUUUCACAGUCUCUACUGGGGACAGGGGCAUUGCCUUUCCAGUCCGAUUCCGCAGGACUCCCUCUUGUGCUUUUGUUCUACUCUUGUCCCCUUGUAUGCCCAAGCUUCCCCAGCCCCAGGUCUCUCCAUUCCUCCAGUCCUGUAGUGCCCUGCUCUUGUGCCAUCUCAUCCCUGCAGCCUCAUGGGAUCCCCAGAGGUACCACUGGUACCAUGCCCAAGGCUCAUCUGUCUGUCUGACUCUAAGUGCCCUCAGUCACAGAGCCAGUCUGAGAUCCAGCCCUGUAUUUGAACUUCUGCCCUGUCUAAUCUGGAGCCCAACCUCUCGCCCCCCUCUCCAGUGUGAUUCACAGGCUUGUGUCAAAGCUCUCGGGGAUUUAAAGAAAAUGUCGACACCCAGGCUUAAAAAAAAAUGUGAUGACCAUCUUUACCGGAGGGAAAAGAACUUCCUGUGUAACUAUUGAAAGUAAUGAAGAUGGAGGAAGGGACAGGAUUGGGAAUGGAAAAUACUCAUCUUCCCAGCAGUGGGGACAGAGUUGAGAACCAAAGAAACUGUGUAUUUUCUAAGACACACUCCAGGCCAGGCCUGCCUGCGUCCUUCAGUGCCCAGGUCUACCGCGGAGAGCCCUGGGCUGACCACUGGCUCACCCUGCAGAAUGCUCACUACAGACGUGGCUUCUGAGGCUGGGGAUGGGCCUCCAGCCAGCAGCUGUCAGGACGGACUCCUUGGCAAACUUUCCUAGGAUGUAAGAUGGAAAGAUUUUUUCCAUCUCCCUACCCCGUGUUUCCCAGGUUGGGGAAAAUAGGAAAAAAAAAAAAAAAAAAAAAGGAAGAAAAUGGGCCUACCUAUCAAAACAGAGGCUAAACACCCACAAAUAGGAAACUCACAGACCAAAAAUGAAACACUAAAGCAAAUACCAUAAUUUCCAAUUCAGGCCUGUGUGAGUAUCUCCAGGUGGGAACAGCAGCAUUUGGAGUUGAGGUGGGAGGGGGCUCGGAUGGGGGCAGUCCUUGUGGAAGGAGGGCAAACCAGCCUGGGGAGAAGGAGAUUUGGGGCCAGAAGGUUCUGUGGGAUUGUGACUUUGGACUUUGUCAUUUCACUGGGGACCGUCCAUGAGACAGAAUCAUCCUUGCCUCAUUCACUGACCUCACAUCCAUGCAGCUAUCCAGUGUGAGAAUUAAGAGAAAAGCCUUUAAAAUUUUAAAGCCCUGUACACAUGUGAAGUGUUAAAAAUAGUCACAAACAAUAAACUGUAGCAAUAACGUCAAUGAUAAUGACGUUGACCCAGUGACAAAGGGAUUUUGUCUCUCUCAUGAGUGGACCAAAAUGGAAGCAGUAGAGGAAGGCAUUAUAGCUCAGAGGCCAUAAGGCUGCAGGAUUUACAGCCAAACUGCCUGGAUUUAAAAUUGGGUUCUAGUACUCACUAGCUUCGCAACCUUGGGCAACUCACUUAACUUCUCUAUGCCCCCGUUUCCUCAUCGGUAAAAUAUAUACACUAGUAAUCCCAAACUCAUAGCAUUAUUGUAUGGAUUAAGUGAGCUAAUCCACGAUAAUAACAUGUUUAAUAUGUGUUAGCUAUAAUCACAAAAUUGUGAUAGCAAUUCUCUAAUAGAAAAAAAUAUUGUGUGCCAAUGUCUCGGCCAUCUUUAUACUCAGUGUAAGCAGCCCCCACAAACAGAAAUGCUGUUGCAGGGUGAGUGUGCUAAAAAUACUCCUGGGAUUUUUCAAGUCCUUGGAGACAUUCAUCUUAAAAUAGUGCAAAAAGAACCAAAUAAAUACUCAUUUAUGUGCUAUUUUAAUGAGCAACUGCAGGCAAUAUGCCUAAUAUGGCAGAGAGGUCUUCAGUGUCCUUUCUCCUUCCUUCUUGAUUAGCGUCUGAGCUCAGAUGGCAUGCAUCAUUAUGUUUGUGGCAUUACAAAAGGUUCUGGGAGUGCGGGAGAGUGCAAGGGUGGGGAAGCAUUACGUGCCUGUAAUCCCAGCUCUUUGGGAUGCUGAGGCAUGAGAAUCGCUUGAACUCGGGAGACAGAGGUUGCAGUGAGCCGAGAUCAUGCCACUGCACCGCAGCCUGGGCCACAGAGCAAGACUCUGUCUCAAAAAAAAAAAAAAAAAAAAAAA